UUUAUUUUUUCUCUAACAGGGCUGAUGCACGUAAGCAACAGCUGGAGAAUCAAGAGGAAUCUAGGGAUAUUUCAAUGCCUGUUGCAGCAAGGAGUGCUACACUAGUUGCAGAUCAAGAUCAGCGAAAAGCUUUAAAGUUUGGAUUUUCUGCCAAAAGCAGUGCAUCCAAGAGCUCUGUGGGCAAUGCUACAAAGAAGCCGAAGGUAGCAGUUGCCUCAGUUUUCGGCAAUGACAGCGAUGAGGAGUAGGAAUAAUCAAUCCCUUUUUGCUGGCCAUUAGUCGUUUGAUGUGCGAGUAUUUUAUCCUGAUGAAUGUUCCAUCAUACCCGUCUUGUACUUGCGUUAGUUAAUUAUAACAUAUCGGAUGGAUUGUUCCUAGAGGAUAACUUAAUUGGUUGUAAACAGAAGAUGCUCUUUAACAUUUAAAUAGAAGUGACUGGUGAACAUGAUUUUGUAAGGUAUAUGGGGUGCUUGUUCAAAUCCUCGACUUGUUUUUCUUUCAAUGAUGUUGUCUUAUCUGAGGGUUGCCCUAAGAGUGUAACUUUUUCUAA
Long non-coding RNA from Olea europaea var. sylvestris, 550 nucleotides. RefSeq lists it as uncharacterized. The transcript has 2 exons. Lineage: Eukaryota; Viridiplantae; Streptophyta; Magnoliopsida; Lamiales; Oleaceae. The record is from RefSeq and is a predicted model, not a curated record.